Gasterosteus aculeatus aculeatus (three-spined stickleback) is the source of this 3617-nucleotide long non-coding RNA. The record is from Ensembl. Lineage: Eukaryota; Metazoa; Chordata; Actinopteri; Perciformes; Gasterosteidae.
AUUUAUUUCACUCCUCUCCACAGCAAUAUAUGCCGCAGAUGACCGUUUGCGUCGUGUGAAGAUACUGUGGCUUCUAUCACAAGGCAGUAUUAUGUCUCGGAGGUGUGGAUGGUGGUUUAUCUUCUCCAGAGGUUUGUCUGGUGAAAUUGCAUGUGAUGUUUAGCAGUAGAGCCAUUUCGCUGUUCGGCAGCUGCCGCGAUGGAAAGUGCAAACGCAGAGCAACAGCGACCUCGUUGGCGCCGGUGGAGGAGGAGGACUCUGCGGGUUUCCCGUAGGCUGCUCUGCUGCUCAUGUUGGCGCGGUGAGGAGAGGGAUCCUCUGCAGCAGCAGGAAAGGAAGAUCAAUGGGGGCUCUCGGCAUCCACACUUGGAUCAGCGGGGAUCAGGUGAGAGGGAGGCUAUCCAGAUUACGGUAGAGGACCUGGGGAUAGUUAACACCGGCUUCAGCCUGUGCGAGGAGGACACCCCGACCUCGGGCAACAGCACGGCCCGCUCAGCUAGCUCCGUGUCCGCCUGCCUGAGGGCUCUGAAAAAGAAACGACUGGGGCCUCUGUUUUCACUCCCUAUGGACAUGCAGGGAAAACUGGCCAUCACUUCUACCAGUGGAGAAGGUGGUGAUGAAGAGGACGACGACCCGCUGGUGUUUGAGAGUGGCACUGAUGUCACGCCAGCUCCUGGAAGCCUCCUAUCACCGCCCGUCAUUAAUCUGAUCCCACCCACUCCAUCCGAUGUCGUUGACGACGAUCAGUUCUUUGACGUUAAUUUGGAAGACAUUGUGGCAAACGAUGCUGUCAGCGGUGGAAGCUCUGGUGCUGGUGACCACGAGCGCUACGAGGAAUCGAUGAAGGGUGCCGAGGCAAAGGUGUCAACCGUGGAAUUUCCACCGGCAGAGAGUAAGGUCAGUGCUGAUGAUUCAGCUGGGCUUGAAGAGGCCCCACGUGACGGGUCUGGAGAAGAAGAAGAGGCAGAGACAACCAAAGAUGGGGACGAGGAGAAAACAAAGCCAAGGCUCUUACGUUGUGCGUACCAGGUGGCUCCUCUCCCUAAGUACACUCAGAAAAAUGAACUGAGCAACACAGAUGUGAACUGCUCCGACAUGCCGAAAGCUGAACUCUGCCUGCUUCCUGCCAACAUGGACACAUUUACUCACCAAAGGAGGCUCAUAACGCGCUCCUGCAGUCUUGAAGACACACCGACCAGGAGCGCCACUUUCCACGCUUUGACCCAGACCACAGACCACCAGGAAGAUGAGAGGUCGCUCCAACAGCGCCGCAUAACCGUUGCAUCAUAUAUGCCUCAGUCUCAGGAUCAGAAUGGAAACUUCCCUGAGAAGGACGUCGACAGGCAAGUGGCCAAAUGUCUUGGGGAACUGAGCACAGAUGAAGUCUGCCGCUGGUUUACCAAUAUCGGACUGCAGAAAUGUCUUCCUUUCAUCCGAGAUGUAAACCUGUGUGGAGCAGACGUAGCAUCGGUGGAUGUGAACACUCUGGACGUCCUGCACAUCACCACCCUGGAGGAGAGGGAGAAGCUGCUGUCUGCCGUUUAUAAGGAGCUGCACCCUUCCAGCCCAAUCACCCAGAGACUCGACUCUCUGCUCGAUUCGUUGGGCCCGAACAGUGUGGAGACAUUCACCGCGACAUUAGUGUCAAUGAGCAAAUCUAAGUCCUCUCCACAUGUGAGCUGCCUGAGCAUGAAUCGGCGUUCCCUAAAGCGCAGAAACACCAGCCAAACCCCCUUGGCACAGAGGAAUUCUCAGCUGAUCGAGAUAGCAAUUAAUGCAUCAGAGCGGAUAGUUCAUCUCCGAACCCCAAAGGAAACAACGGUGGGGAAAAUCAUGGAUUCAUGCAUCAAAAUGUUGGGAAUGACAGAAGACAGGAGCCUUUUCAUACUGAGAGAAAAGCAAGGUUCAUCGGAAGACCUCCCCCCAGAUCAGCUGAUCGCCAGCCUACUGACAUCGACAUCAGAGGACAGGCAGUUGGAGCUGCACUUGUGUAAAACGGACGGGUCAUCUGGAACCAUAGCAAAACAAAAUCCAGGAGUCCACAGCUCUAAUGAGAAUAACAACAUCAACAAAAAUGCCCUGGUGAACCGGCCAGCCAAAGAAGAGAGGAUCAAAGAACUAAACCAGCAGGUGGAAUCGCUCCAAAAUGUCAUCCUUCAGGUCCAGGAGCUCCACCACGGCCUGGUGGCAUUUUGCUCAGAGAUAAAGAACAUGGAUGGAGACGUGGAUGUGGACAGGCUUAGCUCCGCUGAGCUGAAGGAGAGGUCGCAGUUGGUUAAAAGCCGCCUGAAUGACAAGAGGCGGAGCCUGCAGACCCUCAGAGACAACAUUAACGACUCCACUGCUCACAAAAAGAAACAGUUGGACGUACGUCUCUUGGAAAAGAUGAAACUGAACUGCCAGGUGUUUAAGGAGGAAAUUUCCAUGGUACAUCUCAAUCGGCAGAUGGCACACCUCCAAAAUGCUUUGCAAGAAAGCUACGUUAAGGAGAAAGUUCAGAGAAAAAGUUUGGCCAUUGGUAGCCUGAGCCAGCUGGUGUCCCCGCAGUCUCCUGCCAUGCUGCUGGUUGUGCAGGAGAACCGAAACCCCGAUGGCCAGUACGGCUUCUCGUGUUGCUACAGGGAAGGCAGCGGACUACUGGUGGUCAAGGUGGAAAACUGCCAACUCUGUGUUGACGACAGGCUGGUGGAGGUGAAUGGUGUGCCGGUGGUUAACUCUACACAGGAAGAGCUGACCACCAUCUUACUGGAGGGACCCAGCGCCAAUAUUGUUGUCCUUCGCCAGCCCCCGCUCCCCCCCACCUCCGUAGUCCUGCAGCGCAUCAUCACCUCUGAUCCCGAGCAACAGCUCUCUCUUGCCGACUUAGACCGGGGUGUGGUUCCAGUUGAAACAACUCCUCGACGGAAGGUGGUGGCCAUCUGAUGAUACGACAGAGAGAGAAAAAGACCAGCGCAGAGACUUGAGGGUUAAUGAUAUCUGACUGUGGAGCCAUGCAGCGAAAUGCCCUCUUUUGUUAGUUAUUUAACUCUAAAUAUAAAUAUAUGUUAUUGAAAAUGUCAAUGUGUUGAAAUGAUAGACGUUUAGUUAGGAACAUCCAAUAGUAAUAUAGCUGUGUUGUUAUGUGACGUUUUCCUCGACUAAGCCUCAACACAUGUACACAGCGUUGUGCUUGGCAGAUAGAACAGUUAUAUUUGAUCCAUAUUGUUGCAAUGUAUACGGAGAACCAUGCCUGUGAAAAAAACUUAUUUCCAGAAAAACACAUGAAACCGAACCACAUUGACUUCUUUCUAUUUGCAUCUCCUCUUGUGCUACAUCAUAUUUUGUGCCAUGAGGGAAAAUGAAUAGUACAGGAAAGACAAGGAGGCAGAGCCUGAUAAGGACAAUGCAUGCUUCAUCUUGUACAACUAUAAUUGAAAAUAUGUGAAUCCUGUCUAUAGUUACUGUAACAUAUCGUGUAAAGAUACAUCCAAUAGCUUUGUAUCCUGUUUCUCUUAUUAGAAUAGAGACUUGUACGGCUACAACAGUAUUCGGAGCAAAAACAUGAGUCACGUCCCUUUUUUUGGAUGUUGUAAUGUAAUCCACUGUGCUGCAGGAAUAAACCCUUGGGCCCGGAAAUG